CUCACGAGCUAAAGCAGGGGAAGUAAUAAUAAUACCAAGUUUUUUACCAAGCCAGAGUCUACAAAUGGGGCCAUAAGUUUGGGAAAGAGAUGCAAAAUAGGUAUGAAGUUCAGGUUCAAGAGAAUGGAGAUUACCUAUCAAGGGCAAAGCUUUAGGCCCUGGUGGCAAUCCCUUGUUUGAGUUUCUGAUGA
Molecule: long non-coding RNA, 191 nt
Organism: Solanum stenotomum
Lineage: Eukaryota; Viridiplantae; Streptophyta; Magnoliopsida; Solanales; Solanaceae
Exons: 3
Source: RefSeq, a predicted model, not a curated record